GACCGAAACCAGUCAGGCUAUCAAACAUCACCAGGCGCUGUUAAUUAUGUGUAUUGGUAUAUACUAUAUUUUUAUGCUUUUACAUUUUUCUCACUGAUACACAUAGUUAAUAUGGCUUCUACUAACGAAAGCUCCAUGGAGCUAAUGUGUUUAGAGACUACUUAUGUCAGUACACCUUUCCUAUAUUGCCUACAAUUUGUUUCUCGACAGGAAUUAACCUAUCUGAUGUAUUAUUGAAUUGGGGGGGGGGGGUAUGAUUCCCCUGGAAUUAAAAAGCAAAGGCACAUAUCAUUUCCAUAUGAGUAGCCCCUAAAACAAGAGGUAAACAAAUAUUUAUAUGUUUAAACUAACAAACUAGAUAUAUAGAAGAAAAUAUAACAAUGUCAUAUAGCAAUUUCAAAUCACUCUUUCUAUAACAUCAAUUUUUUAAUAGAUAUUUUUGACUUCGCUGGAAUGCAUUGCAUGAGAAACACUUCAGCUUGAAUAAAACAUAACAAACUAAACAACUGUAUGAAUUAUUCUAAAACAGAAAUACCAAGAACUUGCAGUCAGAAUUCCACAAUAUUGGCCUGACUGUAACUAAAAAUAACACCUUCAAAUACUUUACAUAUUUUUAAUACAUCCAUAUCAUACCUAACAUGUAAGCUAAAUACCCAGUUAAUGCACAGGUGUAGUUGUGGAUGGUGGGUGGGAUAGCUGAUUGUAAUUGCAUCCAAUACAACGAUGCUUUCUCUCAAUUCAUCAACAAUACUCUAACCUCCCUCUAGG
RNAcentral lists this long non-coding RNA (768 nucleotides) under Mytilus galloprovincialis (Mediterranean mussel). The record is from RNAcentral. Lineage: Eukaryota; Metazoa; Mollusca; Bivalvia; Mytilida; Mytilidae.